RNAcentral lists this ribosomal RNA (230 nucleotides) under uncultured bacterium. RNAcentral's name for it is "partial 16S ribosomal RNA". It matches the Rfam family "Bacterial small subunit ribosomal RNA", at positions 118 to 347 of the family's 1533-position model. The record is from RNAcentral.
UGAGGAACAUGACCUUCGGCGGGGGAUAGCCGGCCCAACGGCCGGGUAAUACCGCGUACGACCACAUGGGGACAUCCCUGAGUGGUGAAAGCAGCAAUGCGCCGAUGGAGUGCCUCGCGGCCUAUUAGCUAGUUGGUGAGGUAACGGCUCACCAAGGCGACGACGGGUANCUGGUCUGAGAGGAUGGCCAGCCACAUUGGGACUGAGACACGGCCCAGCUCCGUAGGGAG